Molecule: ribosomal RNA, 694 nt
Filed under: uncultured bacterium
Lineage: Bacteria
Description: bacterial SSU rRNA
Rfam family: Bacterial small subunit ribosomal RNA
Source: RNAcentral
UGGGGGCUUGCGGUGGGUACGGGCCGGCUUGAGUGCGGUAGGGGAGGCUGGAACUCCUGGUGUAGCGGUGGAAUGCGCAGAUAUCAGGAAGAACACCGGUGGCGAAGGCGGGUCUCUGGGCCGUUACUGACGCUGAGGAGCGAAAGCGUGGGGAGCGAACAGGAUUAGAUACCCUGGUAGUCCACGCCGUAAACGUUGGGCACUAGGUGUGGGGGGCCUUUUCCGGGUUUUCCGCGCCGUAGCUAACGCAUUAAGUGCCCCGCCUGGGGAGUACGGCCGCAAGGCUAAAACUCAGAGGAAUUGACGGGGGCCCGCACAAGCGGCGGAGCAUGCGGAUUAAUUCGAUGCAACGCGAAGAACCUUACCAAGGCUUGACAUGUGCCGGUCGGCUCCGGAGACGGGGUUUCCUCCUUGUGGGGCCGGUUCACAGGUGGUGCAUGGUUGUCGUCAGCUCGUGUCGUGAGAUGUUGGGUUAANNCCCGCAACGAGCGCAACCCUUGUCUCGUGUUGCCAGCACGUUGUGGUGGGGACUCGCGGGAGACUGCCGGGGUCAACUCGGAGGAAGGUGGGGAUGACGUCAAAUCAUCAUGCCCCUUAUGUCUUGGGCUUCACGCAUGCUACAAUGGCCGGUGCAGAGGGCUGCGAUACUGUGAGGUGGAGCGAAUCCCUUAAAGCCGGUCUCAGUUCGGAUCGG